GACGAACGCUGGCGGCGUGCUUAACACAUGCAAGUCGAACGGAAAGGCCCUGCUUUUGUGGGGUGCUCGAGUGGCGAACGGGUGAGUAACACGUGAGUAACCUGCCCUUGACUUUGGGAUAACUUCAGGAAACUGGGGCUAAUACCGGAUAGGAGCUCCUGCUGCAUGGUGGGGGUUGGAAAGUUUCGGCUGUUGGGGAUGGACUCGCGGCUUAUCAGCUUGUUGGUGGGGUAGUGGCUUACCAAGGCUUUGACGGGUAGCCGGCCUGAGAGGGUGACCGGCCACAUUGGGACUGAGAUACGGCCCAGACUCCUACGGGAGGCAGCAGUGGGGAAUAUUGCACAAUGGGCGGAAGCCUGAUGCAGCAACGCCGCGUGCGGGAUGACGUCCUUCGGGUUGUAAACCGCUUUCGCCUGUGACGAAGCGUGAGUGACGGUAAUGGGUAAAGAAGCACCGGCUAACUACGUG
This 468-nucleotide ribosomal RNA is filed under the name uncultured bacterium. RNAcentral's name for it is "partial 16S ribosomal RNA". It matches the Rfam family "Bacterial small subunit ribosomal RNA", at positions 28 to 507 of the family's 1533-position model. The record is from RNAcentral.